GGAGCAAGUAGGGUUAUAUGAUCCUCUCUUCUCAUUCAAUGGGAUACUCUUUAUGGUGUGUAGGGGUGCCACUGUGAGAUCCCAUGAAGAAGAAAAUAAAAGGAGAAAAACUUACUUUCUUACAAAAUCCUAGAUCUUGAAACUCUAGAUGUUGUUAUAUGUGAAGCAAGUUGCAAAAAAUCUAGUUACAUCUAAUCUUG
This 200-nucleotide long non-coding RNA is filed under the name Elaeis guineensis (African oil palm). RNAcentral describes it as "long non-coding RNA (EGUI_LNC068869)". The record is from RNAcentral. Lineage: Eukaryota; Viridiplantae; Streptophyta; Magnoliopsida; Arecales; Arecaceae.